RNAcentral lists this long non-coding RNA (1284 nucleotides) under Pelobates cultripes (western spadefoot toad). The record is from RNAcentral. Lineage: Eukaryota; Metazoa; Chordata; Amphibia; Anura; Pelobatidae.
GGGUAGCGUAAACUUAUUUAUUGGUAGCCACACUGGCCUUUUAUGCAAUUCCUCAUGCAAGAGGCACUCACCCAUGGAACUUGUGGGGAACUACAAUGUAAAAUUACAGACCAAUAACAUAAUGUAUGACACUCCCACACAUAGCAUACAAUCCCUCCCCAUUAAUUACUGUAUCAACUCAAUUAUCUCCAGGCGAAAAAGAACAUAAUUUACAGACAACCCGAAAGUACCCCAAAAACUCACAUAAACCCCAUAAAAAGUAUAUUCCCUGAUAGCCCCAACUUGGGUGAGCAACAUAUCCUAAAUCAACCACAGAAUCCUGAAUAAUAGAUCAGAAAAAACAGGGUGCCACAAUCACAAAGUUAAAUUCAAUCUGGAGAUUCCCAUUGAUAGGAGGGACAAAUAGAUGUAAGAAAAAUAUCCACUUUAUUAGUAAUAUAUCCAGGUAAAAUAAGCAAUAACACACACAAGAAUGUGCAAAAUUGCAAUACAAUGAUGUAUUAAAAAGUCAAUUAAGGCACGAUGGCCCCUAUCCAAAAAUCACCCAGAUCGGUUCAGGCGUUCGGGAUUUUUAUGGAAGUCUUAUUUCUGACCGACCGCACACGAGGCUCCUGCCCAGAAUAGUUCCAAAGAUUUCAGGUUGUGCGGCCGGUCUCUUUCAGGAGCUUCAAAUACAACGAAAUAUCCCAAAUAACUGUUUGUGAAAAAGCUAGUCGUGUGUCCCUCGUUCGGGAGUUUGGUUUCACCGAACGAUGCCUUCUUCGGAUGACUUGGAACGAACAUAGGUGAUCCUGGAAGUCUCAGUAGUGUUCAGGCCGUUGAGUGUUUGAAAAUAGGUCCAUACACUCGACGACCAAACACCGCUGGACGUACAUCCGAACGACGGCCACCCAGUGAACCACUUAGAACAUUCAAAUGUUGUGGUCAGAUUCGUAACCGAACCAGGCAAAGCAAAAUUAAACUUUAGAAACAGGGCAUCUGUUACAAGGUUUUUCCCUCAUAUUUGGAGAACAAUUUAAAUUAUAGGUAUUCAUUGUGUAUACAUAGGUUUGGAGAACAGCAAUGGGAUUAAGAUAUUUAUUAACCUUUUAGGUUAAACUGUGAAUAUUGUAUGAAUAUAGCCUCGUGCUAUCAAUUGUUGAUGAUCUAAGGAGAAAUAUUAUUCCCAUUAUGGAGUCAGAAAGGAUUUUGUUUUUCCUUUUUGUGGAAUAAUUGGAAAUGGCUACAAUUAUUUUUCCUUCUUUUGGAUCAAAAGCUUUAAAAGAAUGAGAUUCAAGGUUGAAC